Molecule: ribosomal RNA, 262 nt
Filed under: uncultured bacterium
Lineage: Bacteria
Description: partial 16S ribosomal RNA
Rfam family: Bacterial small subunit ribosomal RNA
Source: RNAcentral
UGGCGGACGGGUGAGUAACGGCGUGGGGAACCUGCCCUGUACAGGGGGAUAACACGUUAGAAAUAGGUGCUAAUACCGCAUAAGCGCACAGUAUCGCAUGAUACAGUGUGAAAAACUACCGGUGGUACAGGAUGGACCCGCGUCUGAUUAGCUGGUUGGCGGGGGUAACGGCCCACCAAGGCGACGAUCAGUAGCCGGCCUGAGAGGGUGAACGGCCACAUUGGGACUGAGACACGGCCCAAACUCCUACGGGAGGCAGCAG